GACGAACGCUGGCGGCGUGCCUAAUACAUGCAAGUUGAGCGCUGAAGGUUGGUACUUGUACCGACUGGAUGAGCAGCGAACGGGUGAGUAACGCGUGGGGAAUCUGCCUUUGAGCGGGGGACAACAUUUGGAAACGAAUGCUAAUACCGCAUAAAAACUUUAAACACAAGUUUUAAGUUUGAAAGAUGCAAUUGCAUCACUCAAAGAUGAUCCCGCGUUGUAUUAGCUAGUUGGAGGUAAAGGCUCACCAAGGCGAUGAUACAUAGCCGACCUGAGAGGGUGAUCGGCCACAUUGGGACUGAGACACGGCCCAAACUCCUACGGGAGGCAGCAGUAGGGAAUCUUCGGCAAUGGACGAAAGUCUGACCGAGCAACGCCGCGUGAGUGAAGAAGGUUUUCGGAUCGUAAAACUCUGUUGGUAGAGAAGAACGUUGGUGAGAGUGGAAAGCUCAUCAAGUGACGGUAACUACCCAGAAAGGGACGGCUAACUACGUG
RNAcentral lists this ribosomal RNA (495 nucleotides) under uncultured bacterium. RNAcentral's name for it is "partial 16S ribosomal RNA". It matches the Rfam family "Bacterial small subunit ribosomal RNA", at positions 28 to 507 of the family's 1533-position model. The record is from RNAcentral.